ACAUGCAGUCGAGGGGCAGCAUGGUCUUAGCUUGCUAAGGCCGAUGGCGACCGGCGCACGGGUGAGUAACACGUAUCCAACCUGCCGUCUACUCUUGGACAGCCUUCUGAAAGGAAGAUUAAUACAAGAUGGCAUCAUGAGUCCGCAUGUUCACAUGAUUAAAGGUAUUCCGGUAGACGAUGGGGAUGCGUUCCAUUAGAUAGUAGGCGGGGUAACGGCCCACCUAGUCUUCGAUGGAUAGGGGUUCUGAGAGGAAGGUCCCCCACAUUGGAACUGAGACACGGUCCAAACUCCUACGGGAGGCAGCAGUGAGGAAUAUUGGUCAAUGGGCGAGAGCCUGAACCAGCCAAGUAGCGUGAAGGAUGACUGCCCUAUGGGUUGUAAACUUCUUUUAUACGGGAAUAAAGUGAGGCACGUGCGCCUUUUUGUAUGUACCGUAUGAAUAAGGAUCGGCUAACUCCGUGCCAGCAGCCGCGGUAAUACGGAGGAUCCGAGCGUUAUCCGGAUUUAUUGGGUUUAAAGGGAGCGUAGGCGGACGCUUAAGUCAGUUGUGAAAGUUUGCGGCUCAACCGUAAAAUUGCAGUUGAUACUGGUUUCCUUGAGUGCAGUUGAGGCAGGCGGGAUUCGUGGUGUAGCGGUGAAAUGCUUAGAUAUCACGAAGAACCCCGAUUGCGAAGGCAGCUUGCUAAACUGUAACUGACGUUCAUGCUCGAAAGUGUGGGUAUCAAACAGGAUUAGAUACCCUGGUAGUCCACACGGUAAACGAUGGAUACUCGCUGUUGGCGAUAUACUGUCAGCGGCCAAGCGAAAGCAUUAAGUAUCCCACCUGGGGAGUACGCCGGCACGGUGAAACUCAAGGAAUUGACGGGGGCCCGCA
This 877-nucleotide ribosomal RNA is filed under the name uncultured bacterium. RNAcentral describes it as "bacterial SSU rRNA". It matches the Rfam family "Bacterial small subunit ribosomal RNA", at positions 53 to 925 of the family's 1533-position model. The record is from RNAcentral.